RNAcentral lists this ribosomal RNA (252 nucleotides) under uncultured bacterium. Its description in RNAcentral is "partial 16S ribosomal RNA". It matches the Rfam family "Bacterial small subunit ribosomal RNA", at positions 524 to 776 of the family's 1533-position model. The record is from RNAcentral.
UACGGAGGAUGCGAGCGUUAUCCGGAUUUAUUGGGUUUAAAGGGUGCGCAGGCGGACUGUCAAGUCAGCGGUAAAAUUGAGAGGCUCAACCUCUUCCCGCCGUUGAAACUGGUGGUCUUGAGUGGAUGAGAAGUACGCGGAAUGCGUGGUGUAGCGGUGAAAUGCAUAGAUAUCACGCAGAACUCCGAUUGCGAAGGCAGCGUACCGGCAUCCAACUGACGCUGAGGCACGAAAGCGUGGGGAUCAAACAGG